RNAcentral lists this ribosomal RNA (220 nucleotides) under uncultured bacterium. RNAcentral's name for it is "partial 16S ribosomal RNA". It matches the Rfam family "Bacterial small subunit ribosomal RNA", at positions 524 to 741 of the family's 1533-position model. The record is from RNAcentral.
UACGUAGGGUGCGAGCGUUUAAUCGGAAUUACUGGGCGUAAAGCGUGCGCAGGCGGUUGUGCAAGACCGAUGUGAAAUCCCCGGGCUUAACCUGGGAAUGGCAUUGGUGACUGCACGGCUAGAGUGUGUCAGAGGGGGGUAGGAAUUCCACGUGUAGCAGUGAAAUGCGUAGAGAUGUGGAGGAAUACCGAUGGCGAAGGCAGCCCCCUGGGAUAACACU